Molecule: ribosomal RNA, 253 nt
Filed under: uncultured bacterium
Lineage: Bacteria
Description: partial 16S ribosomal RNA
Rfam family: Bacterial small subunit ribosomal RNA
Source: RNAcentral
UACAGGGGGUGCAAACGUUGCUCGGAAUUAUUGGGCGUAAAGCGCGCGUAGGCGGCUACUUAAGUCGGAUGUGAAGGCCCCUGGCUCAACUGGGGAAGUGCACCCGAAACUGAGUGGCUUGAGUACUAAAGAGGGUCGCGGAAUUCCCGGUGUAGAGGUGAAAUUCGUAGAUAUCGGGAGGAACACCGGUGGCGAAGGCGGCGACCUGGGUAGAUACUGACGCUGAGGCGCGGAAGCGUGUGGAGCAAACAGG